Long non-coding RNA from Octopus sinensis (East Asian common octopus), 94 nucleotides. RefSeq lists it as uncharacterized. Lineage: Eukaryota; Metazoa; Mollusca; Cephalopoda; Octopoda; Octopodidae. The transcript is spliced from 3 exons. The record is from RefSeq and is a predicted model, not a curated record.
UCAUGAUCAUUUAAUAAUGGAAACUGUCUACUACUUCUAAGGAUCCCCACUGACAUUUGAGGGAGCCAGUUUUUUGUUCAUUCCAGGUGUUUAA